GACGAACGCUGGCGGCGUGCUUAACACAUGCAAGUCGAGCGGAAAGGCCCUUUCGGGGGUACUCGAGCGGCGAACGGGUGAGUAACACGUGAGUAAUCUGCCCCUGGCUUUGGGAUAGCCACCGGAAACGGUGAUUAAUACCGGAUACGACCACUUCUCGCAUGGGAUGGUGGUGGAAAGUUUUUCGGCCAGGGAUGUGCUCGCGGCCUAUCAGCUUGAUGGUGAGGUAAUGGCUCACCAUGGCUUCGACGGGUAGCCGGCCUGAGAGGGUGACCGGUCACACUGGGACUGAGACACGGCCCAGACUCCUACGGGAGGCAGCAGUGGGGAAUAUUGGACAAUGGGCGGAAGCCUGAUCCAGCAACGCCGCGUGAGGGAUGACGGCCUUCGGGUUGUAAACCUCUUUCAGCAGGGACGAAGCGCAAGUGACGGUACCUGCAGAAGAAGCACCGGCCAACUACGUGCCAGCCGCCGCCGUAA
This 480-nucleotide ribosomal RNA is filed under the name uncultured bacterium. Its description in RNAcentral is "partial 16S ribosomal RNA". It matches the Rfam family "Bacterial small subunit ribosomal RNA", at positions 28 to 523 of the family's 1533-position model. The record is from RNAcentral.